RNAcentral lists this ribosomal RNA (253 nucleotides) under uncultured bacterium. RNAcentral's name for it is "partial 16S ribosomal RNA". It matches the Rfam family "Bacterial small subunit ribosomal RNA", at positions 524 to 776 of the family's 1533-position model. The record is from RNAcentral.
UACGUAGGGUGCGAGCGUUGUCCGGAAUUAUUGGGCGUAAAGAGCUCGUAGGCGGUUUGUCGCGUCGACUGUGAAAACCCGAGGCUUAACCUCGGGCCUGCAGUCGAUACGGGCAGACUAGAGUUCGGUAGGGGAGACUGGAAUUCCUGGUGUAGCGGUGAAAUGCGCAGAUAUCAGGAGGAACACCGGUGGCGAAGGCGGAUCUCUGGGCCUUACCUGACGCUCAGGCGCGAAAGCUAGGGGAGCGAACAGG